UACGUAGGGGGCGAGCGUUGUCCGGAGUUACUGGGCGUAAAGGGCGUGCAGGCGGUGCAGUAAGUUUGGAGUGGCAGUACCCGGCUCAACUGGGUAAGGCCUUCGAAAACUGCUGGACUUGAGGGCCAGAGAGGGACAUAGAAUUCCGGGUGGAGUGGUGAAAUGCGUAGAUAUCCGGAGGAAUACCAAAGGCGAAGGCAGUGUCCUGGCUGGCAUCUGACGCUGAGGCGCGAAAGCUAGGGGAGCGAACAGG
This 253-nucleotide ribosomal RNA is filed under the name uncultured bacterium. RNAcentral's name for it is "partial 16S ribosomal RNA". It matches the Rfam family "Bacterial small subunit ribosomal RNA", at positions 524 to 776 of the family's 1533-position model. The record is from RNAcentral.